AAGUUCAGCGUUUACAAUUCACCACGUCAAUUUUUCAACCUCAUAUAAAAGCCUUUUACUCUUGUUCCCCACCCAAUAGCUCAGACUGAAUCAUUGGAGCGAAACAUUGAAGAAUUUACAAACAAACUUGCAGAAACAUUGAAGAAUUUACAAACAAACUCACGAACCACAUCUCCAACCUCGUCGUCUGUAUUUAAGGUCUAGACUCCAAACUCCUUCUCACCACUUUCUUUUAUUCUAUUUAUCAUUCGUAUACCCAACCAGCAACAAAGACUUGAGGACUUGAAUAAGCAUGGACUAAAACUUUGUCAUAUUUCUGACCCUUCAAAAUCAAAAGAAAUGAACAUACUACAAGAACACACACAUGCAUAAGUCUUAAUACCAAGAAUCCAUUUUAUUUUUUUUUAAUCUGUGAAUUUUUUUGAUUACCUUUGGUUUUGGGGAUGAGUGGCAAUAAGAGGGCAACGCACUGUCGGAGCUUCGACCCCGGGCUGACGAGGCCGCGGCUGUCGGUGCUGCAUAUGUGGCAGCAGUCGCCGGCCGCUCACGGCCAAGACAGAUGGAGUCGAGGCAAGGCAGAGCGGAGCCGGGGUGGACGAAAUGCCGCUGGAGAAGACGGCGGCUCCUGUUGGGGCGGCUGGUAGCUGGCAGGAGCCGAGGCGGCUGAGCAAGGCAACGCGGACAGAGGCGGAAUGAUGCGGCCCCAUGGAGAGGCAGUGCGAGGAGCUGCCGUACGGGGCGGCGCGGCCGAAGGCCAGGCGCCGCUGGUCAUGGCGAGAACAGAGCAGCAGCAGCGGUGGUCCUUCAUAGCCGUCUGCUGCAGGAAACGCGAGGCGGCAAGAGAGAGAGGGUGAUGGCGGAGGCGGACUCCGGCGGUGGUUCCGCCGGGUAGCGGCGACGGAGGCGGAAUUUAGGGAGGAAGAAAGGGGCGGUGAGAUUGGAGAGAAGGGGGAGGGAACCGAUUUUGAAGAAGAGAAGUGAAAGAUGUUUAGGUUUUCCUUAAAAGAAAAGUUUGACUUUCAUAAUUGGACUCCUUGUGUUUGGGCUUGCUAUAAAUCCUAGACUGGGCCGAUUUUUUUAAUCAUCUGACGGGCUCAGUUUAUGUUUGUUUUGGGCCUUAUCUGUAUUUGACCAGAAUUUCUUAAUAACCAUUGGGCUGAUUCUAAAAAAAAAAAUGCUUGGGCUUUAUUAAUUAUUUUAUAAAGUUUAUAGAUUCAUUCAAA
This is a long non-coding RNA of Salvia miltiorrhiza (redroot sage), 1223 nucleotides long. RefSeq lists it as uncharacterized. NCBI's taxonomy places the organism in Eukaryota, Viridiplantae, Streptophyta, Magnoliopsida, Lamiales, Lamiaceae. The transcript has 2 exons. The record is from RefSeq and is a predicted model, not a curated record.